UACGGAGGGAGCUAGCGUUGUUCGGAAUUACUGGGCGUAAAGCGCACGUAGGCGGCUAUUCAAGUCGGGGGUGAAAGCCCGGGGCUCAACCCCGGAACUGCCCUCGAAACUAGGUAGCUAGAAUCUUGGAGAGGUCAGUGGAAUUCCGAGUGUAGAGGUGAAAUUCGUAGAUAUCGGGAGGAACACCAGUGGCGAAGGCGGCGACCUGGGCAGAUACUGACACUGAGGUGCGAAAGCGUGGGGAGCAAACAGG
This 253-nucleotide ribosomal RNA is filed under the name uncultured bacterium. Its description in RNAcentral is "partial 16S ribosomal RNA". It matches the Rfam family "Bacterial small subunit ribosomal RNA", at positions 524 to 776 of the family's 1533-position model. The record is from RNAcentral.